AUUUUUAGUGGUGAAGUUGUCCCUCAAAAAGCUCAUUGCACUUCUCUGUGUCUCAAGGGUACAUGCAAAGUGGAGUAAAGUGGCAGAGCAGCAUUCUCAGAGACCUCAAGGGCUCCCAAACUUCUCAUGCCCCAAAGUGGGGACAGGAAAUAGGAUGUGAAAUGUAUAUUCCUUUUGCUGCUUUGGGUCAAAGCAGCAGCAGCGGCCAGGCCCAACCCAGCCCCGCCCUCCAGGGGACUGUAGCCUGUAUUCCCAGCAGGAAUCCAAGCCAAGGAACCUAAAGUCUCUCCGCUCCGGGAGCCGUGGUGCCUCGUUUAUUCCCGAAGGAUAGUGUUUUUAUGCGUUCUGAAAAGAUCAACAUUCACAGUUUUUCUUACCUGGGGUAGGGGAUUGGGUUUGGGGAGGGGGAUGGAUAAGGUGGGGAGGAUACCUCGGCAGAGUUAGUUUUCACCAUUCGGUGACCUUUCCUUGAAAUGAAAAAUAAACAAUUUUGGAUUUUAAACA
Molecule: long non-coding RNA, 504 nt
Filed under: Phascolarctos cinereus (koala)
Lineage: Eukaryota; Metazoa; Chordata; Mammalia; Diprotodontia; Phascolarctidae
Description: lncRNA (ENSPCIG00000033365.1)
Source: RNAcentral